This 93-nucleotide transfer RNA is filed under the name Deltaproteobacteria bacterium. RNAcentral describes it as "tRNA-Ser". It matches the Rfam family "tRNA". From Rfam's summary of the family: Transfer RNA (tRNA) molecules are approximately 80 nucleotides in length. Their secondary structure includes four short double-helical elements and three loops (D, anti-codon, and T loops). Lineage: Bacteria; Pseudomonadati; Myxococcota; Myxococcia. The record is from RNAcentral.
GGAGAGGUGACCGAGUGGCUGAAGGUGCUCGCCUGCUAAGCGAGUGUGUGGCUUAUACCCGCACCGAGGGUUCGAAUCCCUCCCUCUCCGCCA